RNAcentral lists this long non-coding RNA (442 nucleotides) under Androctonus crassicauda. Lineage: Eukaryota; Metazoa; Arthropoda; Arachnida; Scorpiones; Buthidae. The record is from RNAcentral.
UACUUUGGUGGUGCUCAGUGCCAUUAGAAGUUUGUGUUGGGAGAAAUUUUUCGAAAAAUCGUAGUUGGUGUGCUUGGAAAGCACGUACAAAUUCUUGAGACUGAGUUUGAUCCAUAGUAUAACAAAAAACAAACAAAUAUUGAACGGGCUACCUUGUCUUCAAACUGUUAUGACAGGAUGCCAGAUACACUGAAAAUAUAACACACUGUCCUUGCUACCAUGUUCAUGCCGCCAUCACACCGGAAUCAACAGCUGCGCCGCCUACCGAACAAUCUUGCAUCAGCACAUCGAACAUUGGCCAGGGAUUUUCUGGCACUUCGGGAAGUGGCCGGCCAAAGUAAUAUAGACUCUAGUCAUUUCCAGUACAUCGGACAUUGGCCAAACGCCACCGCCAAAGUGCGAAAUGGCCGGCCAAUUCGGGAACUGGCCGAACUUCGGGCUU